AUUGAACGCUGGCGGCAUGCCUUACACAUGCAAGUCGAACGGCAGCACGGAGCUUGCUCUGGUGGCGAGUGGCGAACGGGUGAGUAAUAUAUCGGAACGUACCCUGGAGUGGGGGAUAACGUAGCGAAAGUUACGCUAAUACCGCAUACGAUCUAAGGAUGAAAGUGGGGGAUCGCAAGACCUCAUGCUCGUGGAGCGGCCGAUAUCUGAUUAGCUAGUUGGUAGGGUAAAAGCCUACCAAGGCAUCGAUCAGUAGCUGGUCUGAGAGGACGACCAGCCACACUGGAACUGAGACACGGUCCAGACUCCUACGGGAGGCAGCAGUGGGGAAUUUUGGACAAUGGGCGAAAGCCUGAUCCAGCAAUGCCGCGUGAGUGAAGAAGGCCUUCGGGUUGUAAAGCUCUUUUGUCAGGGAAGAAACGGUGAGAGCUAAUAUCUCUUGCUAAUGACGGUACCUGAAGAAUAAGCACCGGCUAACUACGUGCCAGCAGCCGCGGUAAUACGUAGGGUGCAAGCGUUAAUCGGAAUUACUGGGCGUAAAGCGUGCGCAGGCGGUUUUGUAAGUCUGAUGUGAAAUCCCCGGGCUCAACCUGGGAAUUGCAUUGGAGACUGCAAGGCUAGAAUCUGGCAGAGGGGGGUAGAAUUCCACGUGUAGCAGUGAAAUGCGUAGAUAUGUGGAGGAACACCGAUGGCGAAGGCAGCCCCCUGGGUCAAGAUUGACGCUCAUGCACGAAAGCGUGGGGAGCAAACAGGAUUAGAUACCCUGGUAGUCCACGCCCUAAACGAUGUCUACUAGUUGUCGGGUCUUAAUUGACUUGGUAACGCAGCUAACGCGUGAAGUAGACCGCCUGGGGAGUACGGUCGCAAGAUUAAAACUCAAAGGAAUUGACGGGGACCCGCACAAGCGGUGGAUGAUGUGGAUUAAUUCGAUGCAACGCGAAAAACCUUACCUACCCUUGACAUGGCUGGAAUCCCCGAGAGAUUGGGGAGUGCUCGAAAGAGAACCAGUACACAGGUGCUGCAUGGCUGUCGUCAGCUCGUGUCGUGAGAUGUUGGGUUAAGUCCCGCAACGAGCGCAACCCUUGUCAUUAGUUGCUACGAAAGGGCACUCUAAUGAGACUGCCGGUGACAAACCGGAGGAAGGUGGGGAUGACGUCAAGUCCUCAUGGCCCUUAUGGGUGGGGCUUCACACGUCAUACAAUGGUACAUACAGAGCGCCGCCAACCCGCGAGGGGGAGCUAAUCGCAGAAAGUGUAUCGUAGUCCGGAUUGUAGUCUGCAACUCGACUGCAUGAAGUUGGAAUCGCUAGUAAUCGCGGAUCAGCAUGUCGCGGUGAAUACGUUCCCGGGUCU
RNAcentral lists this ribosomal RNA (1352 nucleotides) under uncultured bacterium. RNAcentral's name for it is "bacterial SSU rRNA". It matches the Rfam family "Bacterial small subunit ribosomal RNA", at positions 28 to 1381 of the family's 1533-position model. The record is from RNAcentral.